RNAcentral lists this non-coding RNA (23 nucleotides) under Mus musculus (house mouse). The record is from RNAcentral. Lineage: Eukaryota; Metazoa; Chordata; Mammalia; Rodentia; Muridae.
UAAGUCUGAGGUAAUGAGGAAGU